UUGAAGAUAUAUGCACGAUCCAUGUAAUUACUAACCAUAUAUCUACAAUCUCAUUACCUUGGUUAGAUCACUAGUUCCCUCACCAGACAUUACUGAUGCCGGAGCUGGAUCCACCGCCUCCUGGCACACCGCUGCUGGCCCCGGCUCCUCCCUACCAUCGAGGAGGAUGCUUGGAACUAUGCUUGUGGCUUCUGUGCUGCUGUGGUCUAUUUAGUUGCUGCUGCCCUCCACUCUUUGAGUCUGGGCCGCCCCCACCUUAGCUAUGCUGCUGCAUUUUCUAUUUAGCUCACUUUUGUAUGGGUUAAACAUUGUGUGAGUGAUGAGAGGUAGCUAGAAAUGAUCCAAUAUAAAUCUCUGAUCUCAGUAUUCCAGGUUUUUUUUUUUUUUGGCAACUCAGUAUUCCAGUUUGGUUAAUUGGUCUCUGAUGUUAACCCAUUUAUAGGCGUUUGUUCUUCAGCUCUACUUUUUUAUCUAUUUUGGUUGGUACUUUGUACAUUGAUUUAUAGUUCUUUCUCAAUUAUGUUGUCGUUAUAUUGUAAUGCCCAUGGAAUUGCAGACAGUUUCUGUGAUUUUCUUUCUUUUCUUC
This is a long non-coding RNA of Rosa chinensis, 586 nucleotides long. RefSeq lists it as uncharacterized. NCBI's taxonomy places the organism in Eukaryota, Viridiplantae, Streptophyta, Magnoliopsida, Rosales, Rosaceae. The transcript has 2 exons. The record is from RefSeq and is a predicted model, not a curated record.